RNAcentral lists this ribosomal RNA (400 nucleotides) under uncultured bacterium. RNAcentral describes it as "bacterial SSU rRNA". It matches the Rfam family "Bacterial small subunit ribosomal RNA", at positions 355 to 754 of the family's 1533-position model. The record is from RNAcentral.
UGGGGAAUAUUGCACAAUGGGCGCAAGCCUGAUGCAGCGACGCCGCGUGCGGGAUGGAGGCCUUCGGGUUGUAAACCGCUUUUGUUCAAGGGCAAGGCACGGUCUUUGGCCGUGUUGAGUGGAUUGUUCGAAUAAGCACCGGCUAACUACGUGCCAGCAGCCGCGGUAAUACGUAGGGUGCAAGCGUUAUCCGGAUUUAUUGGGCGUAAAGGGCUCGUAGGCGGUUCGUCGCGUCCGGUGUGAAAGUCCAUCGCUUAACGGUGGAUCCGCGCCGGGUACGGGCGGGCUUGAGUGCGGUAGGGGAGACUGGAAUUCCCGGUGUAACGGUGGAAUGUGUAGAUAUCGGGAAGAACACCAAUGGCGAAGGCAGGUCUCUGGGCCGUUACUGACGCUGAGGAGC